AUUAAACCAGAAAGAUAUUCGUUGACGGACAAAAUGACAGUUGAGCUCGACAUAUUUUGUCUGUUCAUAGAAUAUGAGACUUUUUUGGCAAUAUGGAUCGCAUCCUAUCUAUCGGAGAAGACCAAAGCUGGAAGCGAAGGUGGAGCUCCAAGAUCUGAAAGCAAUCGAACUAUAUAAGUAAUCUCUACAAUCACAUAUCUCAUUGAUCGAUACUCGGCUUCUGCAGAUGAAAAGGAAAUCGGUUUGUUUCUUCGACUUCCAAGAAAUUGGAGAUCUUCCGAGGUAGAUAAAGAAAACACUGAUGAAUUUCCUUGUAUUAGGGCAAGAUCCCCAAUCUGAAUCACAAAAAGCUAGCAAAUUUAAAGAUAGAUUCUAGCUCGUGUAAAGCCUUAGACCCGGAUCAUUGAGAAGAUAUCGCAAACAAUGAAAAGUUGCAUCGAGGUGAGGAAGACGAGGAUCAUGCAUGUAUUGAAUGAGGUUUUUUUUACAAUAAAUGAAAUAUUUGAGCGAGUAUGAAUAAGAAAAAUUAAUUUUCCAAGUAUGCAACGAUAUAGAGUAGGAUCUGGAAGUUGUUCCCCUGAAUUGAGAAGAAGCUUGCAAUUGGGAUCAAGUGGAGAAGACGUUGCCUUGAGUUCCAGACAUCCAAAUUCUAAUAAUAGAUCAAGGGUAAAUUUUCUCUGACUUAUAAUUAAUCAUGUAGAUUCUCGUAGAGUUUUCAUGCCAAGAAAAAAUGAGCACUUCCCAGAUCUUUAAUUUUAAAUUCAGCAUCUAAAAAAUGCUUUAAAUCAUUGAGUUAUGCGUCAUCAUUGCCAGUUAAUAAUAUAUCAUCAACGUAAACUACAAUUACAGAAAUGGUACUCUCAGAUUGCUUAAAAAAAUAAGGAGUAACCAUUCAAAGAGUGAGAGUAUCCCUUAAAAUUAAGAGCUACAGUGAGUCGUCUAGCAUACUAUUAUCAGGAGGCUUAUCGAAGUCCAUAGAAUGAUUUUCUGAGUCUGCAAACAUGAUUAGAUGAAGGAGGUUCUAGGCCAGUAGAGAAUUUCAUAUAUACCUCCUCCUCCUCCUCUAGGUCACCAUGCAAAAAAGUAUUAUUGACGUCUAAUUGGUAUAAUCCCCAACCUCUCUUUACUGUAACUGCCAAAAAAUAUCUAAUGGUUGUCGUCUUAACCACUUGGAAAAAAGUUUCCGUGAAGUCAAUCCCUUCCCUUUGUGUGUCUCCUCUAAUCUUCAAUUUUUAUUUAAGCCUUUUUACACUUCCUUCAGACCUAUACUUUACCUUAUACACCUAUUUUCAAGGUAAGGCCUUCUUACUACUUGGAAGUUCAACUACUUCCCAGGUUUGAUUAUUGACCAAAUCACCAAUUUCGUUAUCCAUAGCUUUUUGCCAAUCAGAAUGCAUAAUAGCUUGAGAAUAUGUAUUAGGUUCAGUAAUGUUGUAGAGUGAAUAUAAAAUAUUUUGAUUGGUGGUGGAAAGUGCAGAAAAUAAAAUAGAAGGUGGUGAGAUUUUAGAAUCAAAACAAAAAUCUAAAAUGUUAGUAUAAAAUAUUGCAUUAACCACAUAAUCAUUAAGGUGAGCCGGAAGUUUGUGUGUGUUUUUAAGAUCUUCUGAGUUCUUGAAGAAUAGGAGAGACUUCUACUGAGUCGGGAUCAGGAAAAAUACAAUUACGUGGUGAUAAUCCGAAGAGAACUAGGUUCAAUUGAUGAGGACUCUAGUAAAACUUCAGGAGCAAGAAUUGUGAUACCAUAUUGUGCUGAAUCCUUAGAAACAGUAACAAGUUGCUCAAACCUUAUUUCAGGACUAUUAGGAUUGAAAAUAGGGAAUUCAUGUUGCUUAGGAGCAAAGGGAUAUAGGUUCUCAUGAAAAAUAAUAUUCUGGAAACUGAAUUCUCCUUGGUUUGUAGAUUAAGAACUUUAUAGCGCUUCUUUCGAAAAGGAUAUACCAGGAAGACACUGCCCCUGGCUCUAGGAUCUAAUUUGCUUUUGUUGUAUGAGAGAGUGGAUACAUAACAUAAACAACCAAAGUAAUUAAGGUGUUCAUAGGAAGGUUGCUUUCCAAAAAGGAUUUCAUAAAGAGUCUUGUAUCCUAUAAUCUUAGAGGGAAACCUAUUAUUAGGUAAGUUGCUGUAAAAAAUAAUCUCCCCAAUAUUGAACGGCAAAUAUGACUGAAAAGUAGUGCCCUACAAGACUCUAAGAGGUAUUUAUGUUUUCUUUCUGUCUAUUUUGUUGUAGAGCGUAAACACAUGUGGUUUGAUGAAUGAUUCUUUUGGUAACAAAUAAUUUUGAAUGUAUGGGACACCUCCCUAAUUCUAAAGCAUUGUCAGAUCUAAUGAUCUUUAUCUUUGAAUUAAUCUGUCUCUCUGACAUACUAAUAAAAGAUUUUAAAAUAUUGAAAGCAUUGCUCUUUGUACUCAUCAUGAAGGUCCAUAUUCUUCUACUAAAAUCAUCCACAACAAUUAAGAAAUAUUUGUAUCCUUGGUAAGUUGGUGCUCUAUAGGGCCCCAAGUGUCUAUGUGAAUUAAUUCUAAUACAUGUUUGGUUGAAAUAGAGCUCAAAGGAAAUGGUAACUUGGAUUGUUUGGCAAGGGACAGAUUCUACAAGGAUCUGAAACUUUGUUAUUUACUUUCAAAGAAAUAGUUUUAAUGUUCUUCGUAUUUGAAUAAAGAAUGUGCCCUAGCCUGAUAUUCCAUUAAGAUUCAUAUGAAGCAUUAUGAAAAGAAGAAUAAGCUAAAACUAAAACGGAUUGAAUUCGAAAUACAUAAUUCCUUAAUAGUGGUCUAAGGUAGUCAAGUUUGACUUGAGUUAACAUUUUGAAUAAACUAUCCCGAAACUAGAUUUUGAUAGUUCCAUUAGGUUUGUACGAUAAUUUUGAAAUUGGGAGUGUGUUCGGAUCGAAUUUUCGGUGAUCCGGGAGCAUUUCAACGCUUAAUGUUGAAAGUUGGUGCCUUGAAGGUUUUAGAAUUUUUAAAUUUGUUUUGAAGAAGAAAUUGGUGUUAUUGAUGUAUGUUUAUGAUUCAAAGCCUGGAAAUAGGUUCGUAUGAUGAUUUAUGACUUGUAUGCAAAUUUUGGCAUCAUACCGAGUUGUCUAACUAUGAUUCGAUGCGUUCGGAGCUAGUUGAAGAAGUUUAAAGUUCAUAAGAUGAUUAAUCUGGUUUUAGGGUACGAUUCUUAGUUUCGAUAUUGUUUUAUUCUUCUGAGACUUAGAGAAGGUCCAUAUCAUAUUUAUGAACUUGGUGGUGCAUUUGGACGGGGACCCGGGUGGCUCGUGUAUGUUUUGGACCACCCAGAGUUAAGUCCAAAAUGAAGAAUUUGCUGGUUCUAGUUUCCUUCUUCGCGAACAUGGAGGUUGUCUCGCAUUCACGAUGAAGGAUUGGGAGAUGGGCCAUCGUGUACUUCGCGUUAAAGAAGGCUUGGGACCACUGGCCUUUGCAUUCGCGAUGGAAGUCCGGCGUUCGUGUAGAAAGAACUAGGUCUGAAGGCUAGCUGAUCAUUGCCCUCCGCACUUGGGAAGGGAGGAACGCGUUCGCGAAGCUUAGGCUGGGUUAGCCUUCGCGAUCACGAGGACAAGGACGUGUUCGCAAAGAGUCCUUUCUAGGCAUGGCAAUUUUUUCCUUCGCGGUCACGAAAAGGGGAUGUGUAACUACCUGACCAGUAUUUUUGAGUAUUAGCAUUCCGUUCAGCUAUUUGGAGUUUUGAUUAGUUUCGUAUGAUGUAUUAUGACUUCUAUGUAUCGUCGGUUUUGGUUUUCAGGUGUUUCAAAAUUUGUUUGGAAGAAUGAAUUUCAUUUUUAAGUUGGAAGAGUUGACUAAGUUUGACUUUUGAGUAUUUGACCCCGGAUCAGAGCUUUGAUGGUUCCUUUAGGUUCGGAUUGUGAUUUUGGACUAGGGCAUAUUCCCGAAUUUGCAUUUGGAUAUUUGUAGAAGGUUUCAGCACUAAUCGGCA
This 3937-nucleotide long non-coding RNA is filed under the name Nicotiana tabacum (common tobacco). Its description in RNAcentral is "long non-coding RNA (NTAB_LNC003346)". Lineage: Eukaryota; Viridiplantae; Streptophyta; Magnoliopsida; Solanales; Solanaceae. The record is from RNAcentral.